RNAcentral lists this unclassified non-coding RNA (303 nucleotides) under uncultured fungus. RNAcentral's name for it is "partial contains 5.8S ribosomal RNA, internal transcribed spacer 2, and large subunit ribosomal RNA". The record is from RNAcentral. Lineage: Eukaryota; Fungi.
AACGCAUAUUGCGCUCUCUGGUAUUCCGGAGAGCAUGCCUGUUUCAGCAUCAUUUGAACAUCUCAAAAUCGUCUUUUUUUUGAUGGUUUUGGAAGCUGGGCUUUUUGCUGUGAUUAGUUUGUCACAACUAGCCUGAAAUUGUGGAAAGAUUAAUGCAAGAAAACGUGUAGAUGCUAAAGUGGUUGAGACGAAAAGCUUAUUAGUUGACUGCGGUCAAACUUUGCUGACUAGUCCUGACAAACGGUAGCAUGCCUACAUUCACAAGUUGAUCUGAAAUCAGGCAGGACUACCCGCUGAACUUAA